GACGAACGCUGGCGGCGUGCUUAACACAUGCAAGUCGAACGAAAAGAGGGAAAGAGCUUGCUCUUUCCGGAAUUGAGUGGCAAACGGGUGAGUAACACGUAAACAACCUGCCUUCAGGAUGGGGACAACAGACGGAAACGACUGCUAAUACCGAAUAAGUUCCAAGGGCCGCAUGGCCCAUGGAAGAAAAGGUGGCCUCUACCUGUAAGCUAUCGCCUGAAGAGGGGUUUGCGUCUGAUUAGCUGGUUGGAGGGGUAACGGCCCACCAAGGCGACGAUCAGUAGCCGGUCUGAGAGGAUGAACGGCCACACUGGAACUGAGACACGGUCCAGACUCCUACGGGAUGCAGCAGUGGGGAAUCUUCCGCAAUGGGCGAAAGCCUGACGGAGCAACGCCGCGUGAGUGAUGACGGCCUUCGGGUUGUAAAACUCUGUGAUCCGGGACGAAAAGGCAGAGUGCGAAGAACAAACUGCAUUGACGGUACCGGAAAAGCAAGCCACGGCUAACUACGU
RNAcentral lists this ribosomal RNA (512 nucleotides) under uncultured bacterium. RNAcentral's name for it is "partial 16S ribosomal RNA". It matches the Rfam family "Bacterial small subunit ribosomal RNA", at positions 28 to 506 of the family's 1533-position model. The record is from RNAcentral.